AAUUUGCAUCUGGGGGAGAGCCAGUUCGGUCCCUCUGUAGCCUAAAUGGAGCAAGGUGACUGGGAAGGGGGCAGGCUUCCAGCAUCUGCUCCACCAGGACAGCCCCUUCUUUCAGCCUGGCACACGCGCCGCUGAGCACAAGGGGUCGAGCCCGGAGAACACCGGGACACCCAGCCCGACCCUAACUGUCCAGCCCGCCUGCAGCAGCCCCUGGAACACAUUGUAUUUUGGAGAGCUAAUUCUGUCAGUUACUAGGAAUCAUCAUCUGCCUUGCCAUGUCUUGCUGAAUCUGCUUUCUACAUUGGGAUAGUAGUGACUCUUACAGAUCCAGGGACAUCACGCUGUGACAACGGAAGCGGAAAUCACAGUGCUGUCCCCACCAGCCAAGGAACACCAAGGAUGGCCAGCAAAUACCAGAAGCUGGAAA
Long non-coding RNA from Neogale vison (American mink), 427 nucleotides. RefSeq lists it as uncharacterized. Lineage: Eukaryota; Metazoa; Chordata; Mammalia; Carnivora; Mustelidae. The record is from RefSeq and is a predicted model, not a curated record. The transcript has 3 exons.